AUGCCCACCAUCAUCCAUUGCAGCCCACAGGUGGCAAUAAAUGCAGAUGAAAGUUUAGAACCUCUUGUUCAAGUGCAGUGAUCGGUCAAUUGAACAUAGGAAAGUUACUUGGGCUAUAAAUCCUGCAUAUCAGAACACCUAAUUUGCAGAACAGGAUGGGAAAUCAGUGGAAAGAAACGGUAGAAGAAGAGAGGCAAAGAAUUUCUGUUUACUACUUUUUUCCUCCUCAGUGGGUGAAAGGGGGAAGGCUCAUCUCUCUGUCGUUGUCUUAAAACUGAAAUGUUUUUUUUUUUUUUAAUAAUAAUAAAU
Molecule: unclassified non-coding RNA, 309 nt
Filed under: Hevea brasiliensis (rubber tree)
Lineage: Eukaryota; Viridiplantae; Streptophyta; Magnoliopsida; Malpighiales; Euphorbiaceae
Source: RNAcentral